Molecule: long non-coding RNA, 659 nt
Organism: Vigna angularis (adzuki bean)
Lineage: Eukaryota; Viridiplantae; Streptophyta; Magnoliopsida; Fabales; Fabaceae
Exons: 3
Source: RefSeq, a predicted model, not a curated record
GGAUGCUCUCCCUGAUGCCAUUCUCCAAUGCAUCUUGUCCCGAAUCACCAAUGCUCGUGACAUACUAUACUAAAGGAUGUCUUAACUGAAAAGCUUAAAGACAGGAGCAAUACCUCAAAUGGAAUGACCGAGAUUUUGACGCAGAAGAAUGGUUGAUGAAAGACUUGAAAUUUAAAAGGACUUGACAACUCACCUAUCUGUUUGAGUACAUGUUAAGAAUUGUGAACGCCUUACAAGUGUGUCCCCACCAACACCGAAAGAUCUUGUGGAAUUUGAAGAUCCAGUAGUGGAAGAUGUUCUGCUACGAUUGCUUCCUUUCUUAACUAAUUUAGUAACGUUGAAAGUUGAAAACUGAGAUUCCAUCAAAGCCAUUUUUGAUGUCAAAUGUACAACAGAAAGCAAAGAUGUGAUAUCUAGAGGAUCAACCCUUUUUCCUUUGAAGAAUUUGACUUUACCCAAUCUACCAUAUUUGAAGAAUGUUUGGAAUGAAGAUCGUCAUGGAAUUCUUUCUAAGGAUGCACCAUCCUUAGUCAUAUUUUUAGUAUUUUAAUUUAAUAUUGAACAUCUUUCUUUUUAAUAUAUGAACCAUUAAUUGUAUAAACAUAUUAACAUGUAGAACAAUGUUAUUUAUUUUAUAUAUAAUAUUUAGUUUUAAUUCA